This 253-nucleotide ribosomal RNA is filed under the name uncultured bacterium. RNAcentral's name for it is "partial 16S ribosomal RNA". It matches the Rfam family "Bacterial small subunit ribosomal RNA", at positions 524 to 776 of the family's 1533-position model. The record is from RNAcentral.
UACGAGAGGUGCGAGCGUUAUUCGGAAUAAUUGGGCGUACAGGGUGUGUAGGUGGCAUGUUAAGUCAACUGUUAAAUCUUCCGGCCUAACCGGAAAUAUGCGGUAGAUACUGAUGUGCUUGAGGAUGGAAGAGAGAAGUGGAAUUCUCGGAGUAGCGGUAAAAUGCGUAGAUCUCGAGAGGAACACCAAUGGCGAAGGCAGCUUCUUGGUCCACUCCUGACACUGAGACACGAAAGCGUGGGGAGCAAACAGG